UUACGGCCACAUCACGUUAAAAUACCGGUUCCCUUACGAUCACCGAAGUUAAGCAACGUCAAGCCUGGUCAGUAGGUAACCGCUUGGGAACACCAGGUGCUGUAAG
This is a non-coding RNA of Acanthosepion pharaonis, 106 nucleotides long. NCBI's taxonomy places the organism in Eukaryota, Metazoa, Mollusca, Cephalopoda, Sepiida, Sepiidae. The record is from the annotation of a GenBank genome assembly.